This 25-nucleotide non-coding RNA is filed under the name Rattus norvegicus (Norway rat). Lineage: Eukaryota; Metazoa; Chordata; Mammalia; Rodentia; Muridae. The record is from RNAcentral.
UCACCAAAUGAGGCCCCUACUCUGC